Long non-coding RNA from Cyprinus carpio carpio, 496 nucleotides. Lineage: Eukaryota; Metazoa; Chordata; Actinopteri; Cypriniformes; Cyprinidae. The record is from Ensembl.
GGAGUCCAUGCCUCGACGGGUCAGGGCUGUUUUGGCAGAAAAGGGGGGACCAACACAAUAUUAGAACUUCCAGUAGGACCUUCAGGAGAACAUAACAGUGUACUAAAGUCACAAAGAAGAAGAAGAAAUAAAGGAAAAAUGAAAAAGCAAGAGCGAGAGAGAGAUGAACUCUGCACCCCAAAAGGCUUAAACUGAGAAAAUAGCCAAGCACAGCAGGUGACGUAAAUGGCAAAUACCGGGAUAGGUACACUCAGCAAGUAGGUGAGAUUACGCAAUAUAUGCCAAACUAAAUUUCAAAAGCUGAGGGGAAACACCAAGAAAACAUUACUGAAGUACUAGAUCAAGUCACUACUAAAACAAGGCCUUUUGCAUAAUCAUUAGAAGUGACACUUGGAAAAACCUGGAGUAGAUGCAUGACAUCAAAGAACUUCUACAGGUUAAAUACAAGUGAAACUGCCGCAUCUGGGAUGUACUCUGGAGUACGCCAGCAGUGAAA